This 482-nucleotide ribosomal RNA is filed under the name uncultured bacterium. RNAcentral describes it as "bacterial SSU rRNA". It matches the Rfam family "Bacterial small subunit ribosomal RNA", at positions 30 to 506 of the family's 1533-position model. The record is from RNAcentral.
UUGAACGCUGGCGGAAUGCUUUACACAUGCAAGUCGAACGGCAGCACGGGGGCAACCCUGGUGGCGAGUGGCGAACGGGUGAGUAAUGUAUCGGAACGUACCCAGUCGUGGGGGAUAACUAUCCGAAAGGAUAGCUAAUACCGCAUACGUCCUGAGGGAGAAAGCGGGGGAUCGCAAGACCUCGCGCGAUUGGAGCGGCCGAUAUCGGAUUAGCUAGUUGGUGAGGUAAAGGCUCACCAAGGCGACGAUCCGUAGCGGGUCUGAGAGGACGACCAGCCACACUGGGACUGAGACACGGCCCAGACUCCUACGGGAGGCAGCAGUGGGGAAUUUUGGACAAUGGGCGAAAGCCUGAUCCAGCCAUGCCGCGUGCAGGAUGAAGGCCUUCGGGUUGUAAACUGCUUUUGUACGGAACGAAAAGACUCCUUCUAAUAAAGGGGGUCCAUGACGGUACCGUAAGAAUAAGCACCGGCUAACUACGU